CUUGCCCUGAUUUUUCUCUCCAGGAAUACAGUGCAGAGGAUAGAGAGGCUGCGGCUUAAAGGGGUCUGGGCUGUCCUGAUCCGUGCAGGGUCAGAGCAGGCAGAGGGGUGGCCAUAUGGCACGGUGGCCUGGCAGAGCAGGGGAUAGCACUCUGGAGGCCCCCAGCAUGCAGUCACCAGCUUCUCCUUGGUCCUCCCCGCUAGGAGAGGCGGGCAGGGCUCCAGCAGGCAGGGGUGUAGUUGGGCCAGAGAGGCUAGGAGGAAGCUGAAAGGAAUGGGGUUCCCGACGGGUGGGUCAGGUUAGCACACAGCAUGACGCGACAGGGCGCGCGUGCUUGACAGGAUGCCAGGGCCGCCCUGCCCAAGCAGGUGACUGUAGUCGGCGGGCGGCCCUCUGCCCAGCACGUGGCCCGCCGGACACCCCAGCCUUCCGCGUGCCCGCGCUCCACCCUUCCUCCCUGCUUCUCGGGGUCCUCAGUCUCCGCCCAAGCCCUGGUACCCUCAACUUCCCGUGGUAAUCACUCUGAGCUGGCUGGUCCUGGACACAGCCGGACGCAGAGGACUCAGGCACCCACGGAGCCCCUGGAGGGCAGCAGAGACCUUGCUUCCGGGCACGCGCAAGGCAUACGCAGAGGGGACACUCGCAGGUCCCCCCUCCCAUGUGGGCAUUGUAGGGUCUUGAGAUGUGAGGAUAGGUUUCUUUUCCAGAAUUGGGUGGGGGUGCUGAUCCAAAUCCAGUGUCAACCAGGAGGGGCGCAGAGAAAGCGGGCGCUGCGCGGGGUCCGGAGCCUCUCCACCGAGAGGGAGACCCGGCGGCGGGAGCCAGGCUCUGAACGGACCCAGGGGCGGCGAGAGACUGGCCCCGCCCCGCGGACCCCGAGCGGGUCCCCAGACGGGGGGUGGCGCUGCGGGCGCGGGCGGGCGCCGCGCGCACUGCGGUCCCCGCGCCUCGCCGCAGAGCGCGCCACGCUUGCACGCACCUGCCGCCGCCUGGCCGAGCCCCGCGCCCGCGCCCCUGGGUACCUCCCGCUCCCGCCAUCACCAGGGUCGCCGCGGGAGCCUCCGAGCCACCGGCCGAAGGCGGGCGCCGCAUCGGGGCCUGCCUUUCAAGCAACCUCCGCGGCGGCGGCGCGCAGCCGGGGACGCCAGGCUGGGGCAGCUCGGGCCUGGUGCAGGCCUCGCCUGUGCUCGCGCCGAGGAGCCUGCAGCCCGGGGCCUUCUGCAGCCGGUGCUCAGGCUAGCUGCCUUCCCUGGGAGCCCUGUCCUGGAGCCAUGGGGCCCACCUAGCCCCUGCCUGCCCCGAUGUCCCGGCCCGGGGACUGCUGACCCUGGCUGCAGGGGGAGCGCCCACAGCGCCCCCUGGCCAACCUCGGCAGCCAGAGACCCUGGGUGAGCGACUGGGCCAGACCCCAAACCCAGCGCAGCCUCGCAUACCCCCCUGCCCUCCGCCUGACGCCCCCCCCCCCGCCCCUGCCUCCUCCUCCCAGAUCUGAACCAGAAAAGGCGCCGUCGCCACUGGGGGGGGACUUUUGCCCCACCAGGGCCUCAUCAAGCGGCCC
Molecule: long non-coding RNA, 1558 nt
Filed under: Cavia porcellus (domestic guinea pig)
Lineage: Eukaryota; Metazoa; Chordata; Mammalia; Rodentia; Caviidae
Description: lncRNA (ENSCPOG00000038690.1)
Source: RNAcentral